RNAcentral lists this microRNA precursor (86 nucleotides) under Schistosoma mattheei. Its description in RNAcentral is "mir-3492 microRNA precursor family". It matches the Rfam family "mir-3492 microRNA precursor family". Lineage: Eukaryota; Metazoa; Platyhelminthes; Trematoda; Strigeidida; Schistosomatidae. The record is from Rfam by way of RNAcentral.
AGCCUCCUGUAUCCGUGCUGAUUUAAUCAGAUUUCAUCACACACCAGACCACAAGGGCUGAUGAAAAUUGCAAGAUAAGUGAAGCG